Long non-coding RNA from Gossypium raimondii (Peruvian cotton), 551 nucleotides. RefSeq lists it as uncharacterized. The record is from RefSeq and is a predicted model, not a curated record. Lineage: Eukaryota; Viridiplantae; Streptophyta; Magnoliopsida; Malvales; Malvaceae. The transcript has 4 exons.
AAAAGGAAAAGAGAAGGCUAAGGAGUGAAGGAAGAUAUCAUCUCAACAUUUUUGUUGUACAAUUUGAGUCGAAGAGGUAAAGUCAGGAAAGAAGAUUCCUCAUCUCAUCACAUCUUCAAGAGCUUCAGAAGUAGGAAGAGGCUAAACUCAUACUAGAGACUAGAGAGAGUGCAUUGACGGUUACUCAAGGAAAGAAGAUGAUUCAAGUUAAGCAAAAGGGGAAGGCUAAAAUGCAACCCCAAGCUAACAUAAAGAAAGAGACCAAGUGUUUCUUUUGUAAAAAGCAGGGACACUUAAAGAAGGAUUGUGUCAAGUUCAAGAGUUGGAUUGAAAAGAAAGGGAUUAAGAAAUCUAGAGGAACCAGUGGGAGCUAUGCGACACAUCUAUUCAGGAAAUAAGAUGGAGUUGUAUGUGGAAACAAUUGGAACAUGUGACUUAGUACUUAAGAGUGGCUUUGUUUUAAUUUUAGAAAAGACUUUUUGUAUUUCCAGUUUUUCUAGAAAUUUAGUUUUUAUUUCAUGACUUACACCCUUUGGGUAUUGUUUUAGUUU